This 206-nucleotide long non-coding RNA is filed under the name Mytilus galloprovincialis (Mediterranean mussel). The record is from RNAcentral. Lineage: Eukaryota; Metazoa; Mollusca; Bivalvia; Mytilida; Mytilidae.
GGGAAGGGGAUGUUGUCUUUAUUUUUUAAUUUGUAAACCAUCUCAUAUAUCUUGAAUUAUUUCAAAUUACUAUCUGAUAUUCAAGCGGAAUAGGAUGCAUAAUUCUACUAGCAUAAAAGGAUCAACUAGAAGAAGCUGUUUAUUUGGUCGUUUAUGGUUGUCUUAAAAUUAAAGUCAGUGAGAUGAAUAGACUACAGCAAACCAAC